RNAcentral lists this ribosomal RNA (496 nucleotides) under uncultured bacterium. RNAcentral's name for it is "partial 16S ribosomal RNA". It matches the Rfam family "Bacterial small subunit ribosomal RNA", at positions 29 to 507 of the family's 1533-position model. The record is from RNAcentral.
AUGAACGCUGGCGGCGUGCCUAAUACCUGCAAGUCGAGCGAACGGACGAGAAGCUUGCUUCUCUGAUGUUAGCGGCGGACGGGUGAGUAACACGUGGAUAACCUACCUAUAAGACUGGGAUAACUUCGGGAAACCGGAGCUAAUACCGGAUAAUAUUUUGAACCGCAUGGUUCAAAAGUGAAAGACGGUCUUGCUGUCACUUAUAGAUGGAUCCGCGCUGCAUUAGCUAGUUGGUAAGGUAACGGCUUACCAAGGCAACGAUGCAUAGCCGACCUGAGAGGGUGAUCAGCCACACUGGAACUGAGACACGGUCCAGACUCCUACGGGAGGCAGCAGUAGGGAAUCUUCCGCAAUGGGCGAAAGCCUGACGGAGCAACGCCGCGUGAGUGAUGAAGGUCUUCGGAUCGUAAAACUCUGUUAUUAGGGAAGAACAUAUGUGUAAGUAACUGUGCACAUCUUGACGGUACCUAAUCAGAAAGCCACGGCUAACUACGUG